GAAAGAAGAUUUGGGCCCAAAUCUGGAUUUCCUGUUCGUCUGGGCCAGUAUCUGGGCCCAUUUUCGUUUUGGAUUUUUAGCCCAUUUGAGUCAUCUGCACCUGUCCUAAUUCUUCCACCUGUCCUAAAGUUUAACAAUAUGAUAAUAAUAAUUGAAAUACAAGAAAACUUAUGCCCAAGAUAAUAAAAUACAACUAUUAAAAUAAGGAUGGGCCUUUUGGCCCAAAUCUCUUCAAUUUUCUGAUCUGCAGCAUUAUUUUCGGCUUUGAGAACUUGUAAUCUUGCUUCUAAGGCCUGUGACAGCUUCCUCUAGCCAUCAGCUUUCGAUGAACCUAGUUGACUCGAUAAAGGGACGUUGGGUUUGGCCCAACUAGAAUGCGAGGUGAGGGAAAAGGGAGUCCCGUUUGGACUCAAUCCGAGUAGUUCAUACAAAAAAUAAAAUAAUGAUAAUUAUAAUUAUAAUUAUAAGCGUCACUGCCAAACCAUAUUGCUAGACAAAGAAUAUAAAAUCGAGCCAAUUAUAUAAUGCAGAGGAGAAUACUAGCUUAAUUACAUCACAAUAUCAAACAUAAUAUUAAUAUGAAUUAAAAAAAAAUGUGGCACUCAGAAUUAUUGACAAGUGGCAUUAAUGGAUGACAACAUUCAGCUAACAAGUGAUGCAUGGCAAAUAAUAAAUUUGACAUUAUUUAGAGAAAAGAAAAAAAGAGGUUAUGGAUAAGCUAUGCACAAGUUGCAUUCGAGCUUUUGAAAACUUGAACAAAUUUUAGAAAAAAAAUAGUUAUUCAUAAAGAGAUGCAGAGAACUCAUAAUACUAGAAAAAUGUAAGAGCUCAUGGUGUAAACAAUAAAAGAUAUAAAAGUAAAUAUAGUCACAUGGCAAAAGAAGUAAGCUAGCAACCACCAAAUACAUAUUACAUGACUCUCAUUUUAACAACUAAUUCACGCUAUUCUCAAAAAAAAAAAACAUAAAAAAUAAAUCUAGAUACAUUAUUCAUAGCAGGAUGAGCUCAUUUUACUUUUAUCCUUAACGUAUCAUAGUCUUGAUUUCGGUAAGUAAUCAAAAAGUCUCAAGAGAUUAAGAAUGACAUUGACAGAGAUUUAUGCUAAUAGCUCAAAAUGGAAUAGCAAAUUCUUAAACUUAAACCUUUGGAUUAAUAGGAAAACUUUAGCUAAACUGGAUCAUGCUUUAGCAUAUCGUCACUAGAGUUUUCGCUUAAACAUGAAUAGAAUCACCUCAUAAUAAACACAGAAUUACGAAACUUAGGCCGAUGACUACGGACAAUAUUUGGUUCCAGCAUUAACGAAAACAUUUUGUAACCAGUAAGAACAUCAACCAGCAGCUAAUUUCAACUCAACAUUCUUAGGCAAAGGAUAUGUUAGAAUCAGAGGCGAAUCUAGGAUUUUUCGAAUAUGGGUGCACCAAGAAAAAUGUAUUAAGUGGGAAUUGAUCCGAACAUGGGUGCACCAAGAAAAAUGUAUUAAGUGGGAAUUGAUCCGAACAUGGGUGCACCAAGAAAAAUGUAUUAAGUGGGAAUUGAUCCGAACAUGGGUGCACCAAGAAAAAUGUAUUAAGUGGGAAUUGAUCCUCAGUCCUCAAAGUCAAAAGCUCAACAUUUAACCAUAUGGAUCAACUAGACUUUUUAUAGUACAGGUGCAAGAAUAUAAUAUUAUACAAAUGUUAGAAAAUAUAUACAUAAAAUAUCUAAUUUUACGAAGAGACCACGGGUUCGGAUGCCCUAUUUUUUGCACCUAAAUUCGCCACUGGUUAGAAUCACCAUUUUUAGAUUUCACACUCUCAACAUCAACAUCUUAACGACGCACACAAAAUCAACGAGGAAACUAGGGAUUAAACAGAAAGCUAAGAGGAGUUUACCUUUUGAGAUGCAGCAAACUGGUCAACAACGAGCGGAAGAGCAGCGAGACUUCACCACCAAACGACGACGACUCCUCCGGAAAACUCUAUGUUUCCUUUAGUAUAUAUCUUAGUUAUUUUUGCUUAAGCUAUU
This 2004-nucleotide long non-coding RNA is filed under the name Solanum tuberosum (potato). RNAcentral describes it as "long non-coding RNA (STUB_LNC007834)". The record is from RNAcentral. Lineage: Eukaryota; Viridiplantae; Streptophyta; Magnoliopsida; Solanales; Solanaceae.